RNAcentral lists this ribosomal RNA (247 nucleotides) under uncultured bacterium. RNAcentral's name for it is "partial 16S ribosomal RNA". It matches the Rfam family "Bacterial small subunit ribosomal RNA", at positions 523 to 769 of the family's 1533-position model. The record is from RNAcentral.
AUACGUAGGUGGCGAGCGUUAUCCGGAAUUACUGGGCGUAAAGCGCACGCAGGCGGUCUUUUAAGUUUGACGUGAAAGCUCCCGGCUUAACUGGGAGAGGUCGUUGAAUACUGGGAGACUUGAGACGAUGAGAGGGGUGCAGAAUUCCCGGUGUAGUGGUGGAAUGCGUAGAUAUCGGGAGGAAUACCAGUGGCGAAAGCGGCACCCUGGCGUCGGCCUGACGCUCAUGUGCGAAAGCGUGGGGAGC